This 617-nucleotide long non-coding RNA is filed under the name Elaeis guineensis (African oil palm). Its description in RNAcentral is "long non-coding RNA (EGUI_LNC076625)". The record is from RNAcentral. Lineage: Eukaryota; Viridiplantae; Streptophyta; Magnoliopsida; Arecales; Arecaceae.
AUUAUCAAAAUAUAGUUUAUUAUUGAUCAGUGCAUAAAUAUAAUCAAAUUUAUUUUCAAAACAUGAAUUUAAUAAUGCAAAUAUCUCUCAAAUAUUCAUAUACAUAAUCAUAUAUCCGAUUUCAAAAUUAACCAUAUUUAAAAAUUUGAUUCAAAAUAAAUUUUACUUAACUCAUCAGCUUUUAAACUAUAACCACACUUAUAUCCUGUGGUUGGGCUAGAAUACCACACUUAUACUCUAUGAUCAGACUAGAAUAACACACUUAUAUCCUAUGGUGGGGUUGAAAUACCACACUUAUAUCUUAUGGCUGGGUCGGAAUACUACAAUUAUAUCAUGUGGUGAGCCGAAAAGUAUAGAAUCAUGAGCUUAGAGUGAUAAUGCACAACCCCCAAUUGAUAAGGUUCAGAACAUAGCCCGAUUGAAAAUCCAAAAUCGAUUCGUAUCAAUUUUUUUUUUAUAGACUAACACAUAUUUCAUAAUCAAAUCAAAAUAUACACAUAUGAUUUCAAAUCAGUAAACAGUUACAACAAAUUCAUAUAAAUUUUCAAUCAAAAUAUAUUUCUAUGAGAUUGAUAAAUCAUAUAUUAAUCCAUAAUAAUUUAUUUGAUAUUCAAAAU